Molecule: transfer RNA, 72 nt
Filed under: Ailuropoda melanoleuca (giant panda)
Lineage: Eukaryota; Metazoa; Chordata; Mammalia; Carnivora; Ursidae
Rfam family: tRNA
About the family: Transfer RNA (tRNA) molecules are approximately 80 nucleotides in length.
Source: Rfam by way of RNAcentral
GCCCGGCUGGCUCAGUUGGUAGAGCAUGUGACUCUUGAUCUUGGGGUGGGAGUUCAGGCCCCAUGUUGGGUA